RNAcentral lists this ribosomal RNA (433 nucleotides) under uncultured bacterium. RNAcentral's name for it is "partial 16S ribosomal RNA". It matches the Rfam family "Bacterial small subunit ribosomal RNA", at positions 29 to 507 of the family's 1533-position model. The record is from RNAcentral.
AACGAACGCUGGCGGCAUGCCUAACACAUGCAAGUCGAACGAGACCUUCGGGUCUAGUGGCGCACGGGUGCGUAACGCGUGGGAACCUGCCCUUAGGUUCGGAAUAACUCCCCGAAAGGGGUGCUAAUACCGGAUAAUGUCUUCGGACCAAAGAUUUAUCGCCUUUGGAUGGGCCCGCGUUGGAUUAGCUAGUUGGUAGGGUAAAAGCCUACCAAGGCGACGAUCCAUAGCUGGUCUGAGAGGAUGAUCAGCCACACUGGGACUGAGACACGGCCCAGAAUCCUACGGGAGGCAGCAGUGGGGAAUAUUGGACAAUGGGCGAAAGCCUGAUCCAGCAAUGCCGCGUGAGUGAUGAAGGCCUUAGGGUUGUAAAGCUCUUUUACCCGGGAUGAUAAUGACGGUACCGGGAGAAUAAGCACCGGCUAACUCCGUG